RNAcentral lists this long non-coding RNA (99 nucleotides) under Mus musculus (house mouse). RNAcentral's name for it is "predicted gene 28960". Lineage: Eukaryota; Metazoa; Chordata; Mammalia; Rodentia; Muridae. The record is from RNAcentral.
AUAUUUAUUUAUUUAUUAUAUGUAAGUACACUGUAGUUGUCUUCAGAUACACCAGAAGAGGGAAUCAGAUCUCAUUACGGAUGGUUGUGAGCUACCAUG